UUAAUUAAAUCUAUUGGGUUAUGUGGAAAUCAUGUAUGGAGAUGCUAAACUUUGUCUCGGUUAUGUGCCAUCCGAUUCAAUUGGGAAUCUCAUUGUUUAGGGUUUACUAUCGUUUAUCAAAACUUGGAUAAGAUGACUGCUAAUUUUGAAAUUAAGCUCUAUUAUUUUGUGAUGGGAGGUUAUUAUUCUUGAAAGGUGAAUGCUCUUCUUCUUUCAUACAGUAUUUGCUCUUUAGAGCAGGUUGAAAUAAUUGGGGAUUUCAUUGUUUAGGGAUUACAGCCGCAUCCAAAAACUUGGGUAAGACGACUGCUAAUUUUGAAGUUCAGCACUAUUAAUUCGUGAUGGAUGUUAUUAUUCUUGAAAGGUGGUGGAAGUAAUUUAUUGUUGAUUGAGGAGUAUUCAUCUGAUACACUCGUCUAUUGAGUGGCAAUCUUCGGACUUCUAGCAGUUUUAACUCCUCAAGGGAUACAGGGCGACUCUAGGUUCAAGGCUCCAAUUGUUCAUGCACUUUCGUAGAGGAAAGUUCUGGCGAGCAAUUGGAAAUAGUGGCCAAAGACAAUCUCAUCUAUGGGAAUUUAGUGAUGACAUUGGACAAUUAAAAUUUUUAAUUCAUGAUACUAUAGUAGUACAUUUGGAUUUGUAAAGUUGAAAUACUAGCAUGCCAAUUGAAACUGUAACGACCCGACCGGUCGUUUUGAGUUCUA
Long non-coding RNA from Nicotiana attenuata, 704 nucleotides. RefSeq lists it as uncharacterized. Lineage: Eukaryota; Viridiplantae; Streptophyta; Magnoliopsida; Solanales; Solanaceae. The transcript is spliced from 4 exons. The record is from RefSeq and is a predicted model, not a curated record.